This 440-nucleotide ribosomal RNA is filed under the name uncultured bacterium. Its description in RNAcentral is "partial 16S ribosomal RNA". It matches the Rfam family "Bacterial small subunit ribosomal RNA", at positions 338 to 795 of the family's 1533-position model. The record is from RNAcentral.
CCUACGGGAGGCUGCAGUGGGGAAUAUUGGACAAUGGGGGGAACCCUGAUCCAGCGACGCCGCGUGAGUGAAGAAGGAUUUCGGGAUGUAAAGCUCUAUCAGCAGGGAAGAAAAUGACGGUACCUGACUAAGAAGCCCCGGCUAACUACGGGCCAGCAGCCGCGGGAAUACGUAGGGGGCAAGCGUUAUCCGGAUUUACUGGGUGUAAAGGGAGCGUAGCCGGUGCCGCAAGUCUGAUGUGAAAGGUCGGGGCCCAACCCCGGGACUGCAUUGGAAACUGUUGAACUGGAGUACAGGAGAGGUAAGCGUACUUCCUAUUGUAGCGGUGAAAUGCGUAGAUAUUAGUAGGAACACCAGUGGCGAAGGCGGCUUACUGGACUGUAACUGACGUUGAGGCUCGAACGCGUGGGGAGCAAACAGGAUUAGAUACCCUGGUAGUC